This 68-nucleotide transfer RNA is filed under the name Aethomys kaiseri (Kaiser's rock rat). RNAcentral describes it as "partial tRNA-Gly". The record is from RNAcentral. Lineage: Eukaryota; Metazoa; Chordata; Mammalia; Rodentia; Muridae.
ACUCUCUUAGUAUAAUAAAUACUGCUGACUUCCAAUUAGCAAACUCUGAUGAAACCUCAGAAGAGAGU